Small nuclear RNA from Hibiscus syriacus, 106 nucleotides. NCBI's taxonomy places the organism in Eukaryota, Viridiplantae, Streptophyta, Magnoliopsida, Malvales, Malvaceae. The record is from RefSeq and is a predicted model, not a curated record.
GCUUCUCAAUCAUAUACAUCCAAUAAAAUUGAAACGAGACAGAGAAGAUUUCCAUGGCCCCUUCAUAAGGAUGACACGCACAAAUCGAGAAAGUAUUGGUUGCUUU